UGGGGAAUUUUGCGCAAUGGGGGAAACCCUGACGCAGCGACGCCGCGUGGAGGAUGAAGGCCCUCGGGUUGUAAACUCCUUUUGUAGGGGACAAUAAUGAUGGUACCCUAUGAAUAAGCCACGGCUAACUCUGUGCCAGCAGCCGCGGUAAGACAGAGGUGGCAAGCGUUGUUCGGAAUUACUGGGCUUAAAGGGCGCGUAGGUGGUGGUGUAAGUCCGGGGUGGAAGGCUGAGGCUUAACCUUAGGAUUGCCUUGGAAACUAUAUCACUUGAGUCAGCGAGGGGGAUGGCGGAAUUCCUGGUGUAGCGGUGAAAUGCGUAGAUAUCAGGAGGAAGGCCGGUGGCGAAGGCGGCCAUCUGGCGCUGAACUGACACUGAGGCGCGAAAGCGUGGGGAGCAAACAGGAUUAGAUACCCUGGUAGUCCACGCCCUAAACGGUGGAUACUAGGUGUAGGGCUCGUAAGGGUUCUGUGCCG
Molecule: ribosomal RNA, 476 nt
Filed under: uncultured bacterium
Lineage: Bacteria
Description: bacterial SSU rRNA
Rfam family: Bacterial small subunit ribosomal RNA
Source: RNAcentral